AUGGGAAAAACAAUGAAGACACCCAUUGGAGCUUUAAUUGCAUUCUUGUGGCUGCAGCUGGACUGUGUCAGCCUUGGGAACAAGGUGGAGCAGAGUCCUUCCACCCUGAGCAUCCAGGAGGGAAACAGCUGUUUUAUCACCUGUACUUACACAGAUGUUACCUCAAGCUACUUCCCUUGGUAUAAGCAAGAACCUGGAAAAGGUCCCCAGCUCCUUAUAGACAUUCGUUCAAAUAUGGGUAAAAAUGAAGGCCAAAGACUGACUGUUUUAUUGAAUAAGACUGCCAAACAUCUCUCCCUGCACAUCACAACCGUUGAACCUGGAGACUCAGCUGUCUACUUCUGUGCAGCAAGUACACAGUACUUCCCAGGCAUCCACUAUCUGUACCCAAACUUGUAA
Capra hircus (goat) is the source of this 399-nucleotide non-coding RNA. The record is from the annotation of a RefSeq genome assembly. Lineage: Eukaryota; Metazoa; Chordata; Mammalia; Artiodactyla; Bovidae.